Molecule: ribosomal RNA, 497 nt
Filed under: uncultured bacterium
Lineage: Bacteria
Description: partial 16S ribosomal RNA
Rfam family: Bacterial small subunit ribosomal RNA
Source: RNAcentral
GACGAACGCUGGCGGCGUGCCUAAUACAUGCAAGUUGAGCGCUGAAGGUUGGUACUUGUACCGACUGGAUGAGCAGCGAACGGGUGAGUAACGCGUGGGGAAUCUGCCUUUGAGCGGGGGACAACAUUUGGAAACGAAUGCUAAUACCGCAUAAAAACUUUAAACACAAGUUUUAAGUUUGAAAGAUGCAAUUGCAUCACUCAAAGAUGAUCCCGCGUUGUAUUAGCUAGUUGGUGAGGUAAAGGCUCACCAAGGCGAUGAUACAUAGCCGACCUGAGAGGGUGAUCGGCCACAUUGGGACUGAGACACGGCCCAAACGCCUACGGGAGGCAGCAGUAGGGAAUCUUCGGCAAUGGACGAAAGUCUGACCGAGCAACGCCGCGUGAGUGAAGAAGGGUUUCGGAUCGUAAAACUCUGUUGGUAGAGAAGAACGUUGGUGAGAGUGGAAAGCUCAUCAAGUGACGGUAACUACACAGAAAGGGACGGCUAACUACGUG